Molecule: ribosomal RNA, 1554 nt
Filed under: Psychromonas sp. SR45-3
Lineage: Bacteria; Pseudomonadati; Pseudomonadota; Gammaproteobacteria; Alteromonadales; Psychromonadaceae
Description: bacterial SSU rRNA
Rfam family: Bacterial small subunit ribosomal RNA
Source: RNAcentral
AAAUUGAAGAGUUUGAUCAUGGCUCAGAUUGAACGCUGGCGGCAGGCUUAACACAUGCAAGUCGAACGGUAACAGAGAAUAGCUUGCUAUUUUGCUGACGAGUGGCGGACGGGUGAGUAAUGCUUGGGAAUAUGCCUUAUGGUGGGGGACAACAGUUGGAAACGACUGCUAAUACCGCAUAACAUCUCCGGAUCAAAGUGGGGGACCUUCGGGCCUCACGCCAUAAGAGUAGCCCAAGUGGGAUUAGCUAGUUGGUAAGGUAAUGGCUUACCAAGGCGACGAUCCCUAGUUGGUCUUAGAGGAUGACCAGCCACACUGGAACUGAGACACGGUCCAGACUCCUACGGGAGGCAGCAGUGGGGAAUAUUGCACAAUGGGCGCAAGCCUGAUGCAGCCAUGCCGCGUGUGUGAAGAAGGCUUUCGGGUUGUAAAGCACUUUCAGCGAGGAGGAAAGGUUGUACUUUAAUAGAGUGCAGCUGUGACGUUACUCGCAGAAGAAGCACCGGCUAACUCCGUGCCAGCAGCCGCGGUAAUACGGAGGGUGCGAGCGUUAAUCGGAAUUACUGGGCGUAAAGCGCGCGUAGGUGGUUAAUUAAGUCAGAUGUGAAAUCCCAGGGCUCAACCUUGGAACUGCAUUUGAAACUGGUUGACUAGAGUUUUGUAGAGGGUGGUAGAAUUUCAGGUGUAGCGGUGAAAUGCGUAGAGAUCUGAAGGAAUACCAGUGGCGAAGGCGGCCACCUGGACAAAGACUGACACUGAGGCGCGAAGGCGUGGGGAGCAAACGGGAUUAGAUACCCCGGUAGUCCACGCAGUAAACGAUGUCUAUUAGAAUUUUGUGGCUAUAUGCCGUGGGAUUCAAAGCUAACGCAUUAAAUAGACCGCCUGGGGAGUACGGCCGCAAGGUUAAAACUCAAAUGAAUUGACGGGGGCCCGCACAAGCGGUGGAGCAUGUGGUUUAAUUCGAUGCAACGCGAAGAACCUUACCAUCCCUUGACAUCCAGAGAAUCUGUUAGAGAUAGUAGAGUGCCUUCGGGAACUCUGAGACAGGUGCUGCAUGGCUGUCGUCAGCUCGUGUUGUGAAAUGUUGGGUUAAGUCCCGCAACGAGCGCAACCCUUAUCCUUAUUUGCCAGCGGGUUAUGCCGGGAACUCUAGGGACACUGCCGGUGAUAAACCGGAGGAAGGUGGGGACGACGUCAAGUCAUCAUGGCCCUUACGGGAUGGGCUACACACGUGCUACAAUGGCAAAUACAAAGGGCUGCUCACCAGCGAUGGUAUGCGAAUCUCCUAAAGUUUGUCGUAGUCCGGAUCGGAGUCUGCAACUCGACUCCGUGAAGUUGGAAUCGCUAGUAAUCGUGGAUCAGAAUGCCACGGUGAAUACGUUCCCGGGCCUUGUACACACCGCCCGUCACACCAUGGGAGUGGGCUGCACCAGAAGUCAUUAGCUUAACCCUUCGGGGAUGGCGAUGACCACGGUGUGGUUCAUGACUGGGGUGAAGUCGUAACAAGGUAGCCCUAGGGGAACCUGGGGCUGGAUCACCUCCUUACGUAAAGAA